RNAcentral lists this non-coding RNA (29 nucleotides) under Rattus norvegicus (Norway rat). Lineage: Eukaryota; Metazoa; Chordata; Mammalia; Rodentia; Muridae. The record is from RNAcentral.
UCCUCACUUCCCUUGUUUGUGGUCUGAGA